AAGCUUAGGUUAACUCAUCAAACCUGAAGCCUUCAAAGCUUCGAACAAGAGUACCCACACUCUUAGCAUCUGCCAC
This 76-nucleotide transfer RNA is filed under the name Hydrosaurus pustulatus. RNAcentral describes it as "tRNA-Trp". Lineage: Eukaryota; Metazoa; Chordata; Lepidosauria; Squamata; Agamidae. The record is from RNAcentral.